AUUGAACGCUGGCGGAAUGCUUUACACAUGCAAGUCGAACGGCAGCACGGACUUCGGUCUGGUGGCGAGUGGCGAACGGGUGAGUAAUAUAUCGGAACGUGCCUAGUCGUGGGGGAUAACGUAGUGAAAAUUACGCUAAUACCGCAUACGAUCUAAGGAUGAAAGCGGGGGAUCGCAAGACCUCGCGCGAUUGGAGCGGCCGAUAUCAGAUUAGGUAGUUGGUGAGGUAAAGGCUCACCAAGCCGACGAUCUGUAGCUGGUCUGAGAGGACGACCAGCCACACUGGAACUGAGACACGGUCCAGACUCCUACGGAGGCAGCAGUGGGGAAUUUUGGGACAAUGGACGCAAGUCUGAUCCAGCCAUUCCGCGUGCAGGAUGAAGGCCCUCGGGUUGUAAACUGCUUUUGUACGGAACGAAAAGGUCUCUAUUAAUACUAGGGGCUCAUGACGGUACCGUAAGAAUAAGCACCGGCUAACUACGUGCCAGCAGCCG
This 494-nucleotide ribosomal RNA is filed under the name uncultured bacterium. RNAcentral describes it as "bacterial SSU rRNA". It matches the Rfam family "Bacterial small subunit ribosomal RNA", at positions 30 to 517 of the family's 1533-position model. The record is from RNAcentral.